Molecule: non-coding RNA, 1930 nt
Organism: Vicugna pacos (alpaca)
Lineage: Eukaryota; Metazoa; Chordata; Mammalia; Artiodactyla; Camelidae
Source: RefSeq, a predicted model, not a curated record
AUUUCUGAAUGAAGUUUCAGUUAUUUGGGCAACAUUCACAUUCCAGUGUAGUAACACAACAUGUAGUUAGUUAUUUGGCCAUUUGUUCUUAUAGAAACAUUUUUUGAGGAAUCAUAGUUGAAAUUUAUAAGAACUAAUUCUGAGGGAAAUAUGAUUGAAAGAGCAUUUCCCCUUAUAGUUGAGCAGAGGUUAUGAGAUGACUUACUGAAGAAGGGACUACCUUAUUCUUCAUAGUACUGUUAUUUUAAAACAGCAUUUUUUAAAUUCCUUCAAAUGUUUUACUUUUUGCUACUCUGGGAGAAAUUAGAGGUUCUUAGUUAACUAGGUAAUGCUAACUAAAUUCUAGGUUUUCUGUGCAUUGAUACUGUUAAUGGCAGGAAAAGCAUUCUGGUUAGCAGGAAUUCAGAAACUCUGAAAAGUCAUUUUUAUCUUUUUCCACAGCUUAGGAAUUUAGAUAACUAGAGCAAUAGAUUCCAAGAGGUUUUGCAGAAAGAAAAUUAUUUUUGUUGUAUUGAAUGCAAAAUUUUUCUUUUAUUUUUUAUUUUAUGUAAUUCCAAGUAUGUCAAAUUGAAAAUGAUUUCAAUUGAAAUUUUAAUUAUGAAAAAUUAUUCCAGGAAAAGCUAAAAAAUAAUGUCUUUGUCCCUACCCAGGUUUAGCCAAACUGCAAGGUUGAGAACACUGUCCUCCAGACUGCCAAGUCUGCCCAAGACUUCUUAACCCAACUUCAAGGAGUUAGGUUUCAGCUACAAAGUUAGAGGAAAGAGCCCACACAAGACUCUGCUCUUACUUCUGACACCAACUGCAGCUAGAUGUUGACAUCCUGGGCAACUUUCCAAGACAGAUUUUGAAGAUGGUGAAGUUUCUAUCAGCCAGGGUCCCUGCAUGGUUGCAUGGAACAGAUCCCCCCAACCCUAUCCAGCCACCUAUUGAACUUCAAUGAACAAGAAAUAACUAAGUAUUUGGUUAAGUCAUUGAGAUUUAGGGUGUUUAUCUGUUGCUGCAGCUAAGGAUUAUUCUAAUACAUAUAUGAUGUGUGGUUGGGAUCUAAACUAGUUUUUCCAAGAUGAAUAUUGUUCUAAUGCUUUUUUGAGUAGUUGGGUCAUCCUUUCUCUGUUGAUUUGAAAUGUCACCAUAUAAUCACAGCAACGUUCCUAGGACUUGCUCUCUUUUCUGCUUAUCUGUUUCUCUGGUAAAAUGUAAUAUUUUAAAUUAGAAUAGCUUUGUAUUUUAUUUAGACACCCAGUAGCCUUGUUUACUCCUCAGUCUUUAUUUUUUUUUUCAGAAUUUUCUUGGCAAGUCUGCUUCCAUGAGUGGGCCUACAUUAUAGAAUUGUAGAAGAAAUGAUACGAACAGGAGCAAGUUCAGUAGCCUAAGCACCACCUGUGAUAAAGGAGAGAUCUGCAGGCCCUAUGAAAUUUUUAAAGAUUGGAAAUACAAGGAACAGAAGAAUGAAUUAAAUGACACCACCAGGAUACAAUCUGCAAACUCUACAAUGUGGAAAAUUCUAUGAGACAGUGACUGGUUGAAUAAGAAAGAACUAGGAUUUUCUCACUCUUGUAAAGAUGAGCUUCCCUCCUGAAAUGCCCUAGUCAAGGCUUCAUGAAACAGAAGGCAGGGUGAGAGUGAGCAUGCCAUUUAGACUUGCCAAUAGGGGAGGUGAAUAAUCUUCAAAGGGAGAGCAAGGUAGCAUGACUUCUUUCUGGGAGAAUAGCCAGCCCUUAGAUACUGAGAAUAUGGGGUUCACUUAAUAAAAAACAAGGUGGGUGAACAGUUUGGAAAGGAAAGUUAUGAGUUGGAUCCCAUGUAUGUUGAUUCUAUUAAUCUUUUUGCUGAACAUAAAUUUGCUUUCUGGCUCCCAGUAAUCUUCUCAUUGACAAUAUCCAUCCUAACUCACUCCCUUCCUCUGGAGUUAUCAUUGUCCAUGCCCCCA